This 253-nucleotide ribosomal RNA is filed under the name uncultured bacterium. RNAcentral's name for it is "partial 16S ribosomal RNA". It matches the Rfam family "Bacterial small subunit ribosomal RNA", at positions 524 to 776 of the family's 1533-position model. The record is from RNAcentral.
GACAGAGGGGGCAAGCGUUGCUCGGAAUUACUGGGCGUAAAGGGCGCGUAGGCGGCCCGCUAAGUCGAACGUGAAAUCCCCAGGCUCAACCUGGGAACUGCGUCCGAUACUGGCAGGCUUGAAUCCGGGAGAGGGAUGUGGAAUUCCAGGUGUAGCGGUGAAAUGCGUAGAUAUCUGGAGGAACACCGGUGGCGAAGGCGGCAUCCUGGACCGGCAUUGACGCUGAGGCGCGAAAGCUAGGGGAGCAAACGGG